AUUCCAGCUCCAAUAGCGUAUAUUUAAGUUGUUGCAGUUAAAAAGCUCGUAGUUGGAUUUCGGGCCCAGGUGACCGGUCCGCCGUUUCGGUGUGCACUGGUUAGCUCGGUCUUUCUGCCGGGGACACGCUCCGUCUUAAUUGCCGGACGUGGAGUCGGCGAUGUUACUUUGAAAAAAUUAGAGUGUUCAAAGCAGGCUUACGCUCUGAAUACUAUAGCAUGGAAUAACACGAUAGGACUCCGAGCCUAUUUUGUUGGUCUUCGGGACCGGAGUAAUGAUUAAGAGGGGCAGUUGGGGGCAUUCGUAUUACGGUGUCAGAGGUGAAAUUCUUGGAUUUCCGUAAGACGAGCUUCUGCGAAAGCAUUUGCCAAGGAUGUUUUCAUCG
This 385-nucleotide ribosomal RNA is filed under the name prasinophyte sp. Its description in RNAcentral is "partial small subunit ribosomal RNA". It matches the Rfam family "Eukaryotic small subunit ribosomal RNA", at positions 582 to 975 of the family's 1831-position model. The record is from RNAcentral. Lineage: Eukaryota; Viridiplantae; Chlorophyta.